This 1501-nucleotide ribosomal RNA is filed under the name Lacticaseibacillus casei. Its description in RNAcentral is "bacterial SSU rRNA". It matches the Rfam family "Bacterial small subunit ribosomal RNA". Lineage: Bacteria; Bacillati; Bacillota; Bacilli; Lactobacillales; Lactobacillaceae. The record is from RNAcentral.
GGAUGAACGCUGGCGGCGUGCCUAAUACAUGCAAGUCGAACGAGUUCUCGUUGAUGAUCGGUGCUUGCACCGAGAUUCAACAUGGAACGAGUGGCGGACGGGUGAGUAACACGUGGGUAACCUGCCCUUAAGUGGGGGAUAACAUUUGGAAACAGAUGCUAAUACCGCAUAGAUCCAAGAACCGCAUGGUUCUUGGCUGAAAGAUGGCGUAAGCUAUCGCUUUUGGAUGGACCCGCGGCGUAUUAGCUAGUUGGUGAGGUAAUGGCUCACCAAGGCGAUGAUACGUAGCCGAACUGAGAGGUUGAUCGGCCACAUUGGGACUGAGACACGGCCCAAACUCCUACGGGAGGCAGCAGUAGGGAAUCUUCCACAAUGGACGCAAGUCUGAUGGAGCAACGCCGCGUGAGUGAAGAAGGCUUUCGGGUCGUAAAACUCUGUUGUUGGAGAAGAAUGGUCGGCAGAGUAACUGUUGUCGGCGUGACGGUAUCCAACCAGAAAGCCACGGCUAACUACGUGCCAGCAGCCGCGGUAAUACGUAGGUGGCAAGCGUUAUCCGGAUUUAUUGGGCGUAAAGCGAGCGCAGGCGGUUUUUUAAGUCUGAUGUGAAAGCCCUCGGCUUAACCGAGGAAGCGCAUCGGAAACUGGGAAACUUGAGUGCAGAAGAGGACAGUGGAACUCCAUGUGUAGCGGUGAAAUGCGUAGAUAUAUGGAAGAACACCAGUGGCGAAGGCGGCUGUCUGGUCUGUAACUGACGCUGAGGCUCGAAAGCAUGGGUAGCGAACAGGAUUAGAUACCCUGGUAGUCCAUGCCGUAAACGAUGAAUGCUAGGUGUUGGAGGGUUUCCGCCCUUCAGUGCCGCAGCUAACGCAUUAAGCAUUCCGCCUGGGGAGUACGACCGCAAGGUUGAAACUCAAAGGAAUUGACGGGGGCCCGCACAAGCGGUGGAGCAUGUGGUUUAAUUCGAAGCAACGCGAAGAACCUUACCAGGUCUUGACAUCUUUUGAUCACCUGAGAGAUCAGGUUUCCCCUUCGGGGGCAAAAUGACAGGUGGUGCAUGGUUGUCGUCAGCUCGUGUCGUGAGAUGUUGGGUUAAGUCCCGCAACGAGCGCAACCCUUAUGACUAGUUGCCAGCAUUUAGUUGGGCACUCUAGUAAGACUGCCGGUGACAAACCGGAGGAAGGUGGGGAUGACGUCAAAUCAUCAUGCCCCUUAUGACCUGGGCUACACACGUGCUACAAUGGAUGGUACAACGAGUUGCGAGACCGCGAGGUCAAGCUAAUCUCUUAAAGCCAUUCUCAGUUCGGACUGUAGGCUGCAACUCGCCUACACGAAGUCGGAAUCGCUAGUAAUCGCGGAUCAGCACGCCGCGGUGAAUACGUUCCCGGGCCUUGUACACACCGCCCGUCACACCAUGAGAGUUUGUAACACCCGAAGCCGGUGGCGUAACCCUUUUAGGGAGCGAGCCGUCUAAGGUGGGACAAAUGAUUAGGGUGAAGUCGUA